CUAUUGAUACUGUAAGAGGAGAUUUAUUUUUGUGAAUAAUUGUGUAAAAGAAAAUAUGAUUUCUAUGAUGGUUAAUGAUUUGAUAAAUAUAUUCUUUAUAUAAUUAUUUAGAUUGGGGAACUACUUCUUCCUGUGUAGUUUGUAUCCAUAGGGUUCACCGUAGUUAGGUUGGGCGGAGUGAUACGCCGCACACGAGGCUAGUUUCAAGUUUGUUACCGGCGACAAGGGUGCAACUUGUCUGUUUUCUUGAGCGGAGAAUAAAACAUAUACAAGUUGCUCUGAAGAAGCUGUCCCCGUGCUGUUCUUACCCACGACCCCAAAAAUAGACUUUAUUAAGAAAAUGCUGCUGCGUGUCUCGUUUGGCGGAGUGCAGAAGUACAUGAAGCUGCCUGAACUAACAUUCGGUGAUUUCUUGAGAGAAGUGAGUCUAAAAUUUAACAUUGCUGAAGACAGACGGUUGGACAUCAAGGUUUAUGACCAGUCUAACACAGAGGUCGACUCUGAAGUUUUUGAGGAGAUCGUACAAGAGUUCCAUGGACCUUUCCUAAUUUCAUUGGCCAAUGAAGCACCUGGUUACCCUCAGUCCACGUCAUCUCCAUGCUCUAUUGCAUCUGAAGACACAGUGAUCCUCAACUUCUCGUUGUGUGACCCAGCUGAGGAGCCAGUUGCAGCCGAAGGAAGUCAACCUAAAAGGCCUUGCCGCAUUAACUAUGAAGCAAAAGCUGUGAGUUGUGUGUGUGUGGGGAGUUUGAUUCACAUGUUUAAUUUGAGGUGCAUCUUAUUUGUUUCAUAAUUUCCAAGUAUUUUUCAAAAUACAAUACUGCACAUUUUAUUUCUUACCUGAUUGAAAAAAUCUUGACGACAAAGCCUGGAGGUGACCGUGUCAUGGAGGAGUAUGCGAAAACGAAAUCAUUUACAGAUUCAACCAGAAGACAGCUCAUCAACAUACUUACUGCAGAGAUGACGGAAACACAUGGGUAAGUAUGGAUCAAAUAUGUUAUCAUGAGACAUUGUUUAAACAUAGCAAUUAUUGUUUAGAUCAUGUUGUUCAAUGCUAUCUAUGAAUGUUGA
Molecule: long non-coding RNA, 1071 nt
Organism: Gadus morhua (Atlantic cod)
Lineage: Eukaryota; Metazoa; Chordata; Actinopteri; Gadiformes; Gadidae
Exons: 4
Source: RefSeq, a predicted model, not a curated record